This 612-nucleotide ribosomal RNA is filed under the name uncultured Tomentella. RNAcentral's name for it is "eukaryotic LSU rRNA". The stretch from base 176 to 329 matches the Rfam family "5.8S ribosomal RNA". Lineage: Eukaryota; Fungi; Basidiomycota; Agaricomycetes; Thelephorales; Thelephoraceae. The record is from RNAcentral.
CCCCAAAUGGGGACACGUGCACGCUCUGUUAACACAUCCACUCACACCCUGUGCACCCUCUGUAGUUCUAUGGUUGGGGGGGGACCUGUCCUCUCCUGCUGUGGUUCUGCAUCUUUACAUACACACUGUAACAAAGUCUCAUGGAAUGCAUGCCGCGUUUAACGCAAUAAAAUACAACUUUCAGCAACGGAUCUCUUGGCUCUCGCAUCGAUGAAGAACGCAGCGAAAUGCGAUAAGUAAUGUGAAUUGCAGAAUUCAGUGAAUCAUCGAAUCUUUGAACGCACCUUGCGCCCUUUGGCAUUCCGAAGGGCAUGCCUGUUUGAGUAUCAUGAACACCUCAACUCUUCAUGGUUUUCCAUGAUGAGCUUGGACUUUGGGGGUCUUGCUGGCCUGCGGUCAACUCCUCUCAAAUGAAUCAGCUUACCAGUGUUUGGUGGGCAUCACAGGUGUGAUAACUAUCUGCGCUUGUGGUUUUCCACCAAGUAACCUUCAGCAGUGGAGGUUCACUGGAGCUCACAGACGUCUCUCCUCAGUGAGGACAGCCCUUUGAAUGUUUGAUCUCAAAUCAGGUAGGACUACCCGCUGAACUUAAGCAUAUCAAUAAGCGGAGGA